Aegilops tauschii subsp. strangulata is the source of this 190-nucleotide non-coding RNA. The record is from RefSeq and is a predicted model, not a curated record. Lineage: Eukaryota; Viridiplantae; Streptophyta; Magnoliopsida; Poales; Poaceae.
AGAUUACAUUAGUCAGCUCAUUUCCGAAUGUCAUAAUGCGUACGACUAUUACGGUGAAUCCGACGCGGAGACAGGCCUUGAUGUCGAAUCAUUAGCUGCACCUGAUUCUGGGGAGUCGCAAUCGUCGGUCAUCAUGAGUGAGGUGACAGAAGUUGAGGGGAAAAAGAAUGUCCAAGAUAUUGCUAGUGCA